Molecule: ribosomal RNA, 253 nt
Filed under: uncultured bacterium
Lineage: Bacteria
Description: partial 16S ribosomal RNA
Rfam family: Bacterial small subunit ribosomal RNA
Source: RNAcentral
UACGAAGGGGGCUAGCGUUGCUCGGAAUCACUGGGCGUAAAGCGCACGUAGGCGGACUCUUAAGUCGGUGGUGAAAUCCUGGAGCUCAACUCCAGAACUGCCUUCGAUACUGGGAGUCUUGAGUCCGGGAGAGGUGAGUGGAACUGCGAGUGUAGAGGUGAAAUUCGUAGAUAUUCGCAAGAACACCAGUGGCGAAGGCGGCUCACUGGCCCGAUACUGACGCUGAUGCACGAAAGCGUGGGGAGCAAACAGG